GUGAGUCAUCGAGUCUUUGAACGCACCUUGCGCUCCUUGGUAUUCCUCGGAGCAUGCCUGUUUGAGUAUCAUGAAAUUCUCAAAAUAAAUCUUUUGUUCAUUCAAUUGGUUUCAUUUUGGACUUGGAGGUCUGCAGAUUCACGUCUGCUCCUCUUAAAUUCAUUAGCUGGAUCUCUAUAGACUUGGUUCCACUCGGCGUGAUAAGUAUCACUCGCUGAGGACACUGUAAAAGGUGGCCAGGAUUGUGGAAGAACUGCUUCUAAUAGUCCAUUCACUUGGACAAUAUACUUUAUGAUCUGAUCUCAAAUCAGGUAGGACUACCCGCUGAACUUAA
Molecule: ribosomal RNA, 334 nt
Filed under: uncultured fungus
Lineage: Eukaryota; Fungi
Description: eukaryotic LSU rRNA
Rfam family: 5.8S ribosomal RNA (bases 1-71)
Source: RNAcentral